CCUACGGGUGGCAGCAGUGGGGAAUAUUGCACAAUGGGCGCAAGCCUGAUGCAGCGACGCCGCGUGGGGGAUGACGGCCUUCGGGUUGUAAACCUCUUUCAGUAUCGGCGAAGCUCCCGGGUUUUCUUGGGGGUGACGGUAGGUACAGAAGAAGCACCGGCCAACUACGUGCCAGCAGCCGCGGUAAUACGUAGGGUGCGAGCGUUGUCCGGAAUUACUGGGCGUAAAGAGCUCGUAGGUGGUUUGUCGUGAAAACUCACAGCUCAACUGUGGGCGUGCGGGCGAUACGGGCAGACUGGAGUACUGUAGGGGAGACUGGAAUUCCUGGUGUAGCGGUGGAAUGCGCAGAUAUCAGGAGGAACACCGGUGGCGAAGGCGGGUCUCUGGGCAGUAACUGACGCUGAGGAGCGAAAGCGUGGGGAGCGAACAGGAUUAGAUACCCUUGUAGUC
Molecule: ribosomal RNA, 450 nt
Filed under: uncultured bacterium
Lineage: Bacteria
Description: partial 16S ribosomal RNA
Rfam family: Bacterial small subunit ribosomal RNA
Source: RNAcentral